Non-coding RNA from Pelobates cultripes (western spadefoot toad), 461 nucleotides. Lineage: Eukaryota; Metazoa; Chordata; Amphibia; Anura; Pelobatidae. The record is from the annotation of a GenBank genome assembly.
GGACACUCGAGUAGGCGAACACCGCUGAGACCUCCACAGCCCUGGUCCGUUCGGUUCCAAAAUACCGAACGGCCCCUCGUUCGGUAGAUAGAAAAUACCGAACGAGGGGAUUCAGGCGAACCCUCCCUAGCCUCUAUAGCUAGAGGUUUUCGUGUAUUUUAUUCCCUUAUGCCAGGACCGACCGCAGGGCCCAUUCGCAUGGAACCGGAUUCGGCUAUCUCAGUUCGUGCGGUCGGUCACUUCAGUCCCUCCAUACUUUUCCCGAACCCCUGGUCUGAUCUGGGUGAUUUUUGGAUAUGUUGGUCACCCAGAUCAGGGGUAUCCGGGGAUGUAGGAUUUAAAGAGGUACCCCUACGUUUAGGGGUACAUCCAGAAACGGGGGGAAUUGGUGUACUGGAUAAGGGGAUUAUGAUGCUGGCUGAGGGGAGGAGAUGUGUGGGAGGUUACCAGGACAGGAUUGG